RNAcentral lists this transfer RNA (76 nucleotides) under Acidobacteriota bacterium. RNAcentral describes it as "Acidobacteria bacterium tRNA-Thr". It matches the Rfam family "tRNA". From Rfam's summary of the family: Transfer RNA (tRNA) molecules are approximately 80 nucleotides in length. Their secondary structure includes four short double-helical elements and three loops (D, anti-codon, and T loops). Lineage: Bacteria; Pseudomonadati; Acidobacteriota. The record is from RNAcentral. RNAcentral also lists the same sequence under 2 other names.
GCCACGGUAGCUCAGUUGGUAGAGCAGCGGUUUCGUAAACCGCAGGUCGUCGGUUCGAGUCCGACCCGUGGCUCCA